CGGAGGGUGCAAGCGUUAUCCGGAUUCACUGGGUUUAAAGGGUGCGUAGGCGGGCAUGUAAGUCCGUGGUGAAAUCUCCGAGCUUAACUCGGAAACUGCCAUGGAUACUAUGUGUCUUGAAUGUUGUGGAGGUGAGCGGAAUAUGUCAUGUAGCGGUGAAAUGCUUAGAUAUGACAUAGAACACCAAUUGCGAAGGCAGCUCACUACACAAAUAUUGACGCUGAGGCGCGAAAGCGUGGGGAUCAAACAGGACUAGAUACCCUGGUAGUCCACGCCCUAAACGAUGAUUACUCGACAUACGUGAUACACAAUAGUGUAGUCUGAGCCGAAAGCAUUAAGUAAUCCACCUGGGAAGUACGACCGCAAGGUUG
Molecule: ribosomal RNA, 371 nt
Filed under: uncultured organism
Description: bacterial SSU rRNA
Rfam family: Bacterial small subunit ribosomal RNA
Source: RNAcentral